Molecule: ribosomal RNA, 492 nt
Filed under: uncultured bacterium
Lineage: Bacteria
Description: partial 16S ribosomal RNA
Rfam family: Bacterial small subunit ribosomal RNA
Source: RNAcentral
AGUGAACGCUGGCGGUAGGCCUAACACAUGCAAGUCGAACGGCAGCACAGUAAGAGCUUGCUCUUACGGGUGGCGAGUGGCGGACGGGUGAGGAAUACAUCGGAGUCUACUUUUUCGUGGGGGCUAACGUAGGGAAACUUACGCUAAUACCGCAUACGACCUACGGGUGAAAUCAGGGGAUCUUCGGACCUUGCGCGAUUGAAUGAGCCGAUGUCGGAUUAGCUAGUUGGCGGGGUAACGGCCCACCAAGGCGACGAUCCGUAGCUGGUCUGAGAGGAUGAUCAGCCACACUGGAACUGAGACACGGUCCAGACUCCUACGGGAGGCAGCAGUGGGGAAUAUUGGACAAUGGGCGCAAGCCUGAUCCAGCCAUACCGCGUGGGUGAAGAAGGCCUUCGGGUUGUAAAGCCCUUUUGUUGGGAAAGAAAAGCAGCAGGUUAAUACCCCGCUGUUCUGACGGUACCCAAAGAAUAAGCACCGGCUAACUUCGUG